Molecule: non-coding RNA, 289 nt
Organism: Cinara cedri
Lineage: Eukaryota; Metazoa; Arthropoda; Insecta; Hemiptera; Aphididae
Source: the annotation of a GenBank genome assembly
AGAACCACCAGAGGAAGGACCAUUAAAAACAUACUACCAUUUUUUGGUUUUUCUUUUAAGUACGUUUUCAAGGCUUUCUUGACAUUUUCGAUCGCUUUUUUGUGGAUUUUAAGUGCAUAAAGUCCCGAGUCCUGGUCUUAUAUAGUUUCCCGUCCGCAACAGCGACCUGCACGCACGAGCAGUUUCGUCUUUUUGAAACCCCCCUCCCUCUCCCCCGUGAAAAUAAAUCCUGGUCGCGCCUUUGCCGUGCAGUGCCUUUCCCUCCUGAAAGUCGACUCCUAACCGGUGC